CCUACGUGUGGCUGCAGUGGGGAAUAUUGGACAAUGGGCGAAAGCCUGAUCCAGCCAUGCCGCGUGUGUGAAGAAGGCCUUCGGGUUGUAAAGCACUUUCAGUGGGGAAGAAAGCCUUGGGGCUAAUACCCUCGAGGAAGGACAUCACCCACAGAAGAAGCACCGGCUAACUCCGUGCCAGCAGCCGCGGUAAUACGGAGGGUGCGAGCGUUAAUCGGAAUUACUGGGCGUAAAGCGCGCGUAGGCGGUCUGAUAAGCCGGUUGUGAAAGCCCCGGGCUCAACCUGGGAACGGCAUCCGGAACUGUCAGGCUAGAGUGCAGGAGAGGAAGGUAGAAUUCCCGGUGUAGCGGUGAAAUGCGUAGAGAUCGGGAGGAAUACCAGUGGCGAAGGCGGCCUUCUGGACUGACACUGACGCUGAGGUGCGAAAGCGUGGGUAGCAAACAGGAUUAGAUACCCUUGUAGUC
Molecule: ribosomal RNA, 465 nt
Filed under: Vreelandella stevensii
Lineage: Bacteria; Pseudomonadati; Pseudomonadota; Gammaproteobacteria; Oceanospirillales; Halomonadaceae
Description: partial 16S ribosomal RNA
Rfam family: Bacterial small subunit ribosomal RNA
Source: RNAcentral